This 497-nucleotide ribosomal RNA is filed under the name uncultured bacterium. Its description in RNAcentral is "partial 16S ribosomal RNA". It matches the Rfam family "Bacterial small subunit ribosomal RNA", at positions 28 to 507 of the family's 1533-position model. The record is from RNAcentral.
GAUGAACGCUGGCGGCGUGCCUAAUACAUGCAAGUCGAGCGAACAGAUAAGGAGCUUGCUCCUUUGACGUUAGCGGCGGACGGGUGAGUAACACGUGGGUAACCUACCUAUAAGACUGGAAUAACUCCGGGAAACCGGGGCUAAUGCCGGAUAACAUGUUGAACCGCAUGGUUCUACAGUGAAAGGCGGCUUUGCUGUCACUUCUAGAUGGACCCGCGCCGUAUUAGCUAGUUGGUGAGGUAACGGCUCACCAAGGCAACGAAACGUAGCCGACCUGAGAGGGGGAUCGGCCACACUGGAACUGAGACACGGUCCAGACUCCUACGGGAGGCAGCAGUAGGGAAUCUUCCGCAAUGGGCGAAAGCCUGACGGAGCAACGCCGCGUGAGUGAUGAAGGUCUUCGGAUCGUAAAACUCUGUUAUUAGGGAAGAACAAAUGCGUAAGUAACUGUGCGCGUCUUGACGGUACCUAAUCAGAAAGCCACGGCUAACUACGUG